MicroRNA precursor from Gossypium arboreum, 145 nucleotides. It matches the Rfam family "MIR7502 microRNA precursor family". The record is from Rfam. NCBI's taxonomy places the organism in Eukaryota, Viridiplantae, Streptophyta, Magnoliopsida, Malvales, Malvaceae.
UAUUAAAAAAUUCAUCCAUUUUUAUUGUUAAAAACUAGCGUGGCUGACAAAAUAACCAAACAAUUUUACGUGGCAUGCUAUAUGUACCUCAUGAUAAUAUACAGGAACUAAUUUUUAACAAUUAAAAUGGAUUAAAUUUUUAACA